GAGCUAAGAAGUGGGUUUUUGAAUUGCAAAGACAAGCAAAUCCAACUUUAAUAAUGUUCUUGGCUGCAAACAAGGCUGACUUGGAAGAGAAGAGAAAAGUAGGGACUGAGAAAAGUAGUCCUCACUUAGGAAGCAGAGAUCUAUCAGGGCAAAAAUGGUUAGGAA
Long non-coding RNA from Rosa chinensis, 165 nucleotides. RefSeq lists it as uncharacterized. The record is from RefSeq and is a predicted model, not a curated record. NCBI's taxonomy places the organism in Eukaryota, Viridiplantae, Streptophyta, Magnoliopsida, Rosales, Rosaceae. The transcript is spliced from 3 exons.